This 290-nucleotide ribosomal RNA is filed under the name Uroplatus phantasticus. RNAcentral's name for it is "partial 12S ribosomal RNA". Lineage: Eukaryota; Metazoa; Chordata; Lepidosauria; Squamata; Gekkonidae. The record is from RNAcentral.
ACCAGCUUGAAACUCAAAAGACUUGACAGUAUCUCAUACACACCUAGAGGAGCCUGUCCAAUAAUCGAUAACCCACGAUACACCUUACCAGUCCUAGCACUAUAUCAGCCUAUAUACCUCCGUCGCCAGUCCGCCUGACAACAGACAAUAAAGCGAAUAUAACAGUCAACCGCUCAUACGACAGGUCAAGGUGUAGCUAAUGUACUGGGCAGCGAUGGGCUACAUUUUCUUCACAAGAAAUUACUAACAAUGCCAUGAAAACCACACAUAAAGUUGGAUUUAGCAGUAAG